RNAcentral lists this transfer RNA (69 nucleotides) under Sarcophilus harrisii (Tasmanian devil). It matches the Rfam family "tRNA". Rfam says of the family: Transfer RNA (tRNA) molecules are approximately 80 nucleotides in length. Lineage: Eukaryota; Metazoa; Chordata; Mammalia; Dasyuromorphia; Dasyuridae. The record is from Rfam by way of RNAcentral.
GGUAAAAUGGCAGAGAAUAAGCAUUGAAUUGUAAAUUCAAAGACAGAGACUAGAUAUCUCUUUUUACCA